GGGGAUGUGGCCCAGUGGUAGAGUACUUGCCUAGCAUGCAUGGGGCUUUGGGUUCAUCCCCA
Molecule: transfer RNA, 62 nt
Filed under: Fukomys damarensis (Damara mole-rat)
Lineage: Eukaryota; Metazoa; Chordata; Mammalia; Rodentia; Bathyergidae
Rfam family: tRNA
About the family: Transfer RNA (tRNA) molecules are approximately 80 nucleotides in length. Their secondary structure includes four short double-helical elements and three loops (D, anti-codon, and T loops).
Source: Rfam by way of RNAcentral